AAACUUUCAACAACGGAUCUCUUGGUUCUGGCAUUGAUGAAGAACGCAGCGAAAUGCGAUAAGUAAUGUGAAUUGCAGAAUUCAGUGAAUCAUCGAAUCUUUGAACGCACAUUGCGCCCCUCGGUAUUCCGGGGGGCAUGCCUGUUCGAGCGUCAUUG
This 158-nucleotide ribosomal RNA is filed under the name Myriolecis reuteri. RNAcentral's name for it is "5.8S ribosomal RNA". It matches the Rfam family "5.8S ribosomal RNA". Rfam says of the family: 5.8S ribosomal RNA (5.8S rRNA) is a component of the large subunit of the eukaryotic ribosome. It is transcribed by RNA polymerase I as part of the 45S precursor that also contains 18S and 28S rRNA. Lineage: Eukaryota; Fungi; Ascomycota; Lecanoromycetes; Lecanorales; Lecanoraceae. The record is from RNAcentral.